Non-coding RNA from Python bivittatus (Burmese python), 1749 nucleotides. NCBI's taxonomy places the organism in Eukaryota, Metazoa, Chordata, Lepidosauria, Squamata, Pythonidae. The record is from RefSeq and is a predicted model, not a curated record.
CCUGCAGCGGUUCUACUUCGCAGCACUUUUCCUCCGGAAAGCGGGAAACGAGGACUGAGCGUGGGGCUACAAACAGCUCGCAGGCUUGCAUUUUGUCCUCUGUGCUGUUCCACAUCUUCAUGAAUCCUCUGGAUCGCCUGGAACUUUAGAGUGGGGACUCCUAUCCUGAUGAUAGUCAGCUAUUUUGCUCUUUACCAUUCAGCUCCAAGUACUCUAAAUUUAAUAAUGCACAGGAUGAGAGAGAAAAGGAUGAAAAGAAUUGAGACAAAAUGUUACACGUUUCUUUAAGAAAUUUAAGCCAGGAUCUACACUGCAAAAUCUGGAAAAAUAUGAACAAUAACUAUGUUCCAAUCUACAUGAUAGUCUGGGAAAUUCAAAUUAGAUCAGUGUGUUUAAAAAGGUGGACCAGAUGAAAAUGUUAAAACAGAUGUUAUUCCUUUGAUGAGAGACUCAUUUUUGAAACAGUUUACUAAGAGCCACGUGUAUAUGAGACUACCAAUUUCAGGAUAGGAAAUGUUAUGCAAAGAACAGAAAAGAAAUAAAUUUAUUUGAAGUUCUUGUGGGGAGAACCUCUAGGGAGAGAAGUCACCGGUAGGAUGAGUUCUAUAUUGUUUGCUUACAUAGUCUUUUGUGUUAAACUCAUACUGUACUGUCUAAUUUGGCCCCAAAUGGUUAGUGAUAUACAUGGUGAGCUAAAUUUUACUUUUAUUCUCACUAUUGUCUUAUUAGUUUCAAGGAACUAGUAUCCAACUAUUCAUCAGGCUAUUCAAAUGCGCAACUGCAUUAAAAAGUUAUUUUUUGCAUGAUUUCUUGUGUUUGACAUUAUAGAUGUGUCAAAAUUCAAAUUCAAUUUAAGAAGUAUAGAUUUUUUGUUCUAUUUUUGUUCUAUACAUUAUUGCAUAGUAUGGAUAGCAUAUAAUAUUAUGAAUCUGUUCAUGUGUUUGUUCUUGUUUAAUCAAGAGUAAAAUCCUGAUUUUUGUGAAGAGACUGUAGCAAUAUCAGAGAAGAAACUGUGUCAGAACAUUAGAGAGAGCUAUUUGAGUUAUUCAAGACAGAUGGUGUCCUGCCAGUCUUAUGUCCGUAAGUCCAAUUGGACUAUGUGGAAAAUUCAAAACAGAUUUCUCAAUGUCUUUUUCAUUAGUUGAGAGCUGCUGCAAUUUUAAUCAGUGACUUGUCAGGAAAAUAACUUCAGGCAUCACAUCGCUGCUUUUAAUGCCUUCUCCCACAAGAAGACACCUGUAACUGGCUCUCCUCUCACAUCUAAUUUGGCACACAUUUGUUGUACAACAGUACUUAUCCUGACCCUAACUGUAAUUCUUGCAUUAAUAUUUAAAGUAGCUCUUUAGAAAAGGUACAGAAAAGAAAAGCUGAGGUCCAGAGGAAGAAUCACUAGUGACAGCUUGGAGAGGGGGAGAAAUAUCCUGUACUUUUGAAAGAUGGAUAAACAUAUCCAGUGCACCAAACCCUCUGUAUUAGGCUGCUACAGGAAAAUUAGCACAAGGCAAUUUGCAUGAUUGUUAAUAUUUUAGGAAUGGUUGAUUGAUUUGUUAGAUUUAUAUCCUCCAGGGACUAAAAAUAGUUAGUUACAUGGGGAUCUCCUUUCAUUUUAGGUAGAUUGGGCUGAGAUAAAUUAUGGACCUAGACCAAUAUUUUAGCCAUUGUACCAUACUGGUUCUCCAGUGAUUGCUUAUAAACCUUUUGGCAUAUGAGUUUUUUUUAUUUCUGAAUGAUAUUACAGGUAAUCCUCAA